RNAcentral lists this ribosomal RNA (178 nucleotides) under uncultured bacterium. RNAcentral describes it as "partial 16S ribosomal RNA". It matches the Rfam family "Bacterial small subunit ribosomal RNA", at positions 1323 to 1500 of the family's 1533-position model. The record is from RNAcentral.
AAGUCGGAAUUGCUAGUAAUCGCGGAUCAGCAUGCCGCGGUGAAUACGUUCCCGGGCCCUUGUACACACCGCCCGUCACACCAUGGGAGCCGGUAAUACCCGAAGUCAGUAGUCCAACCUCGUGAGGACGCUGCCGAAGGUAGGAUUGGCGACUGGGGUGAAGUCGUAACAAGGUAUC